GCGGGAGUAGCUCAGCGGUAGAGCAUCGGCUUCCCAAGCCGAGGGUCGCGAGUUCGAACCUCGUUUCCCGCUCCA
Molecule: transfer RNA, 75 nt
Filed under: bacterium
Lineage: Bacteria
Description: tRNA-Gly
Rfam family: tRNA
About the family: Transfer RNA (tRNA) molecules are approximately 80 nucleotides in length.
Source: RNAcentral